AGAAAUCAAAUAGAUAGAAGUCGUAUAAUAGCGGGGAUAUGGCCCGCAAGUUUCUACCAAGCUACCGUAAAUAGCUUGACUACGUCAAUUCACACUCGUUUG
Molecule: non-coding RNA, 102 nt
Organism: Bacillus pumilus SAFR-032
Lineage: Bacteria; Bacillati; Bacillota; Bacilli; Caryophanales; Bacillaceae
Source: Rfam